GAUUGGUAGUUAACCUGAGACCAUCCUCGAGCAUCCAUGAUCAAAAGGAUGAAUUAUAUGAUAACUAUGUGUAUGAGUUCUAAAAUAUUUUUUUAUGAUAACUCGACAUAUCUGGAUAUCAGAAACUAUUGCUAGAUGAUAUCUCGAUUAGUAUAAAAAUAGUUCCUGUACUAUCAGCUUAGUGUUUAAACCUAUGGAGUCAUGCACACAAAUCAGAC
Molecule: long non-coding RNA, 218 nt
Filed under: Elaeis guineensis (African oil palm)
Lineage: Eukaryota; Viridiplantae; Streptophyta; Magnoliopsida; Arecales; Arecaceae
Description: long non-coding RNA (EGUI_LNC058734)
Source: RNAcentral